Corythoichthys intestinalis (scribbled pipefish) is the source of this 523-nucleotide long non-coding RNA. RefSeq lists it as uncharacterized. NCBI's taxonomy places the organism in Eukaryota, Metazoa, Chordata, Actinopteri, Syngnathiformes, Syngnathidae. The record is from RefSeq and is a predicted model, not a curated record. The transcript is spliced from 3 exons.
GCAGUGCCAUAUAUUUAGAGAGUCACGACACUCCCAUAGGGAUCCAUUAUACGAUUUAACUUCCGGGUACUUCCGGGUUAUGGAGCCUUGGAUAGUUACAAACAUCGCAUUUGACAUGACGGACACCAUUCAUUUGAACGGCAGGCUGUCAAGUAUAUUCGGAGGUGCUUCAACCAAUGCACACUGGCAUUGGUUGCAGAGUGAGAAGCUGAUGACCCUCUUCACUAUGCAUCCUGCCAGAUGUUGCCAUUUUGCCUGACAGCGUGGUCCCUGGCGCAUCUGGGCCUAGUGUUGUGGCGCCACCGCUGGUUCCUGAUUGGUCGGCACCCGGCUCAUCCACCCCUGGAUCACCUGGCCUGGAUACGUCAUUGUUAUUGUGCUCACUUUCGCCCAACCUUCCCACCUCAAUUUCUCCCUGAAUGUCUGUAACAAUAACAAGGCAUUCUUAAUUUUAUAUGUAGUCAAUGUUUUUACAUUUGCACCUAUUGUGAUCUCCAAAGUAAGGGUACACUACACUCCUAAA